CCCUCAGGAAUAUGUCUGUCUGUCUGUCUAGGAAGAGGAAGGAAGAUAUUUCCCCUCAGGAAUAUGUCUGUCUGUCUGUCUAGGAAGAGGAAGGAAGAUAUUUCCCCUCAGGAAUAUGUCUGUCUAGGAAGAGGAAGGAAGAUAUUUCCCCUCAGGAAUAUGUCUGUCUAGGAAGAGGAAGGAAGGUAUUUCCCCUCAGGAAUAUGUCUGUCUAGGAAGAGGAAGGAAGAUAUUUCCCCUCAGGAAUAUGUCUGUCUAGGAAGAGGAAGGAAGAUAUUUCCCCUCAGGAAUAUGUCUGUCUGUGUAUCUAGGAAGAGGAAGGAAGAUAUUUCCCCUCAGGAAUAUGUAUGUCUGUGUAUCUAGGAAGAGGAAGGAAGAUAUUUCCCCUCAGGAAUAUGUCUGUCUAUCUAGGAAGAGGAAGGAUGAUAUUUCCCCUCAGGAAUAUGUCUGUCUGUGUAUCUAGGAAGAGGAAGGAAGAUAUUUCCCCUCAGGAAUAUGUCUAUCUAGGAAGAGGAAGGAAGAUAUUUCCCCUCAGGAAUAUGUCUGUCUAGGAAGAGGAAGGAAGAUAUUUCCCCUCAGGAAUAUGUCUGUCUAGGAAGAGGAAGGAAGAUAUUUCCCCUCAGGAAUAUGUCUGUCUAGGAAGAGGAAGGAAGGUAUUUCCCCUCAGGAAUAUGUCUGUCUAGGAAGAGGAAGGAAGAUAUUUCCCCUCAGGAAUAUGUCUGUCUAGGAAGAGGAAGGAAGAUAUUUCCCCUCAGGAAUAUGUCUGUCUAGGAAGAGGAAGGAAGAUAUUUCCCCUCAGGAAUAUGUCUGUCUGUCUGUCUAGGAAGAGGAAG
Long non-coding RNA from Oncorhynchus keta (chum salmon), 833 nucleotides. RefSeq lists it as uncharacterized. The record is from RefSeq and is a predicted model, not a curated record. The transcript has 3 exons. Lineage: Eukaryota; Metazoa; Chordata; Actinopteri; Salmoniformes; Salmonidae.